This 214-nucleotide ribosomal RNA is filed under the name Bacteroides uniformis. Its description in RNAcentral is "partial 16S ribosomal RNA". It matches the Rfam family "Bacterial small subunit ribosomal RNA", at positions 564 to 776 of the family's 1533-position model. Lineage: Bacteria; Pseudomonadati; Bacteroidota; Bacteroidia; Bacteroidales; Bacteroidaceae. The record is from RNAcentral.
UAGGGAGCGUAGGCGGAUGCUUAAGUCAGUUGUGAAAGUUUGCGGCUCAACCGUAAAAUUGCCGUUGAUACUGGGUGUCUUGAGUGCAGUAGAGGCAGGCGGAAUUCGUGGUGUAGCGGUGAAAUGCUUAGAUAUCACGAAGAACUCCGAUUGCGAAGGCAGCUUGCUGGACUGUAACUGACGCUGAUGCUCGAAAGUGUGGGUAUCAAACAGA